This 800-nucleotide ribosomal RNA is filed under the name uncultured bacterium. RNAcentral describes it as "bacterial SSU rRNA". It matches the Rfam family "Bacterial small subunit ribosomal RNA", at positions 8 to 798 of the family's 1533-position model. The record is from RNAcentral.
AGAGUUUGAUCAUGGCUCAGAUUGAACGCUGGCGGCAGGCCUAACACAUGCAAGUCGAACGGUAACAGGAAGCAGCUUGCUGCUUUGCUGACGAGUGGCGGACGGGUGAGUAAUGUCUGGGAAACUGCCUGAUGGAGGGGGAUAACUACUGGAAACGGUAGCUAAUACCGCAUAACGUCGCAAGACCAAAGAGGGGGACCUUAGGGCCUCUUGCCAUCGGAUGUGCCCAGAUGGGAUUAGCUAGUAGGUGGGGUAACGGCUCACCUAGGCGACGAUCCCUAGCUGGUCUGAGAGGAUGACCAGCCACACUGGAACUGAGACACGGUCCAGACUCCUACGGGGGGCAGCAGUGGGGAAUAUUGCACAAUGGGCGCAAGCCUGAUGCAGCCAUGCCGCGUGUAUGAAGAAGGCCUUCGGGUUGUAAAGUACUUUCAGCGGGGAGGAAGGGAGUAAAGUUAAUACCUUUGCUCAUUGACGUUACCCGCAGAAGAAGCACCGGCUAACUCCGUGCCAGCAGCCGCGGUAAUACGGAGGGUGCAAGCGUUAAUCGGAAUUACUGGGCGUAAAGCGCACGCAGGCGGUUUGUUAAGUCAGAUGUGAAAUCCCCGGGCUCAACCUGGGAACUGCAUCUGAUACUGGCAAGCUUGAGUCUCGUAGAGGGGGGUAGAAUUCCAGGUGUAGCGGUGAAAUGCGUAGAGAUCUGGAGGAAUACCGGUGGCGAAGGCGGCCCCCUGGACGAAGACUGACGCUCAGGUGCGAAAGCGUGGGGAGCAAACAGGAUAGAUACCCUGGUAGUCCAC